This 497-nucleotide ribosomal RNA is filed under the name uncultured bacterium. Its description in RNAcentral is "partial 16S ribosomal RNA". It matches the Rfam family "Bacterial small subunit ribosomal RNA", at positions 28 to 507 of the family's 1533-position model. The record is from RNAcentral.
GAUGAACGCUGGCGGCGUGCCUAAUACAUGCAAGUCGAGCGAACGGACGAGAAGCUUGCUUCUCUGAUGUUAGCGGCGGACGGGUGAGUAACACGUGGAUAACCUACCUAUAAGACUGGGGUAACUUCGGGAAACCGUAGCCAAUACCGGAUAAUAUUUUGAACCGCAUGGUUCAAAAGUGAAAGACGGUCUUGCUGUCACUUAUAGAUGGAUCCGCGCUGCAUUAGCUAGUUGGUAAGGUAACGGCUUACCAAGGCAACGAUGCAUAGCCGACCUGAGAGGGUGAUCGGCCACACUGGAACUGAGACACGGUCCAGACUCCUACGGGAGGCAGCAGUAGGGAAUCUUCCGCAAUGGGCGAAAGCCUGACGGAGCAACUCCGCGUGAGUGAUGAAGGUCUUCGGAUCGUAAAACUCUGUUAUUAGGGAAGAACAUAUGUGUAAGUAACUGUGCACAUCUUGACGGUACCUAAUCAGAAAGCCACGGCUAACUACGUG